AUGGAAAUUGCUCAACACAAACAAAAACGGCGGAUAAUCCAUCCCCAAUUCGAAAACCUUGGUUACAAAAAACCCCGCACGAUGUCGUAUCCUCCAGCUGCAAACUCCAAGACCGAAAGAAGAGAGUUUCCUCAAAAGAGACGCGAGGGUCUUCAACCUCAGCAGAUUCCUUCAUCCAUUCACUCCAUUGUUAAGAAGAGGGUUUAUUAUUUUGUACGAGGUUGUUGGGUACUGAAGAUUGUUAGCGACGAUGGCGGCAACGGAGGAAAUUUGAUAUGCAGCUGGUCCCAAAGAUACUCCAAUGGAGCAUGUUUAUGA
Vicia faba (fava bean) is the source of this 318-nucleotide non-coding RNA. The record is from the annotation of a GenBank genome assembly. NCBI's taxonomy places the organism in Eukaryota, Viridiplantae, Streptophyta, Magnoliopsida, Fabales, Fabaceae.